This is a long non-coding RNA of Tympanuchus pallidicinctus (lesser prairie-chicken), 3564 nucleotides long. RefSeq lists it as uncharacterized. Lineage: Eukaryota; Metazoa; Chordata; Aves; Galliformes; Phasianidae. The record is from RefSeq and is a predicted model, not a curated record. The transcript has 3 exons.
CCGCGUGCGCCCUGGCGCUGAAGGACAGCCGAGAGGAAGGGGUCUGGGCGGGCGCGGCGGCUGGGGCAGGCGUGCUGCGUUCUGCGCCGCUCCGCCAGGGGGAGGCGGCGCGGAAGGGCCGUUGAGACGCGCCAGCGGGGGCGGAGAACCCGGCGAACGGGUGGAAGGUGCUGAGGGAGGCGGUGAGCGGAACGGCGACGACAACAAUGGCCUUUGUUCCGCACGCGGAGCGGCCCCUUUAAGAGCCUGGAAGUGGCACGGGAAGUCCGGGCAGGGCGCAGCAGUGGCUCCGCGCGGUCCUACAGUAGGCGGCGGAGGAGACGAGGAGCCCCGAGUAGGGAUGCGGUGGCUGGGGGGGCCUCGCCGCCCCACGCACACACACUAUGGAGAAGGGAGCUCCGCGCUUCGCAAAGAGCGAGCGUGGCGCGACGCCCGGCGCUCAAAGGGAAGCACCGCGCCUUAGCUGGCGUGCUGGGGACGCGGACUCUUUCAGCCCUUAUGGCGUGGCCGCGGCGCGGAAGCGCCCGGCUCUGUUUUGUCGGUCGGGUUCCAAGCCUCGGGGUCCGCCUGGGCUUCCCGCAGCACGGCGAACACAUGGGGUCACGGAGCGGUGUGUGCGUGUUGCAGAGCGGCACAGCGCUAACGCAGGCAGGCGCGUACAGCUGCGCCGCGUUUGUUCGUAACUUCCACGGGAAUGUCGGGUGUGAUCUCUGGACGAACGUCAGAGACAAGUAGUGUGGGGUGGGUUGCGUUUCCUUGUUUUGGAGAUGGGUCGCUUUGAAUUGGAGGCUUCUGUUCUCAGCGGGUCAGCAAUAAGAGUGCUGCUGGUUUUGGGAACAGAAAAAGUGGUCCUUUCCUCGCCUUGGUGCAGUGUGUUCCCGAGUUGUCUGGAGAGGGAUGCAUCCAUGUCGGGAGAGAGCCAAGGAAAUGUGUACUGGAGUCUUCAAAUGACUGACCACUGAUUUUUCAUUACACUUAAAAUAGACAUUUUACAUCACACACAGUGUGUUUGGGGCCAUGUGUGAGGUCAUAACCCUCCCUUGUUCCUGCUGUUUCUGUGGAUAUCUCCUGCUCUUCCAUCCCAGCCUUCAUCACAAGAUGUGCUUCACAGGAAGAUCAGAGGCUUCUUAUGCCACCUCUCCUUCCGUCUGGUGCAGAGGGCCAUGGUACUUCAGCUGUGCAGUGCUACCACCCUCUGGCCACUUUAAUUCCACAGUCCUCAAUCUGCAGGAGUCUCUGAACUCAGUCAUAUGCCUCCUGAGUCUACUCUGUGAGAUAGAUUUCACCCUUUGAAGCCUCUCCUUACAGGUGAUAGGUUGACACACUCUUUCCUAGAAGCACUGUGGAUUAGGAGGGCUAAGACUGAAGAGUUCACUCUGAGGCUUUGCCCAGACUUCUCACCUGAUCUCUAAAACCUGUUUGAAGAUGUCAUUAUGUUUGCGACAGAAGCUUAGAAGAGGAAGCCAGGAGGCAGCACACUGACAUAUGAACCUUCAUAUGGUUUUGUAAAGAAUCUGUUCAACAAGAUGUCAGAAAUGGGCAUUUUAUCUGCCAUUCAAGCCUAUACGUAGAUUUUUCUUUCAGCAGAGCAGUUCAUGCUGGAAGUGGAUUUUGGUUUUAAUUUUGUUGUUGUUGUUCUCUCCUUGAUGCAGACAAUAUAAUGGUACAAACUCUUGCAAAGACAUCAUUGUUUCAGUGGAAAUUUAUCCAUAGUACAUGGUCUACUUUUUGCCUGACAGUGGCUAUUAUUGGCCUUGUAUACAUAGAAAGUUGUAAAACAAUGUUAAAAGGUUGAACUACUGGAAGAGUAGUUAAAGUCCCACAAUUAGGAGAGUAGUUAAAGUCCCACAGUUGUUAUGUGUAGACAAUCCGUGAGUGCCAGCAGUGCUGUUUCAUUUCUCAGGUUCAAAGUGGGAAGAGAGGACAUAGUUCAAUUUUAUCUUAGAACAGUGUCUCAUUUUAUAGCAGUCAAUAUGUCUAUGGAAAAGGGGCCUACUCUGUGUUCUCUGCCCUCAAUUCCUUAUCAGAAAUGAUAAGGAAUCUGAUCCAAACAGUUUAUUCUGUAAAUCUUAGUUUAGUCUGUAAAUAUCUGAAUACUGAAGAGCCUACAAUCUUUUUUCACUUCGGGAAAAGAAAAAAUAAAAUAAAAACAACCGGAAGAGUCUGGUAGCAUGUCUACAUUUAUCAAAAAUAAAUAAUCCUAUCUUUUCUUCUCAUCUACUCUCAUGUCCAUAAUCAAGUGCUUAUUUAUAUAAAGAACAAAAACAAGCAAGAAAAAAAUGGAAAGAAAGAAAAACCACAACCACACAACUACUGUGCCUAAUAUUUUGCUAUGAAAAUGUGCUUCACAAAAUUAAUGACAACUUUCAAAUCUCUAGAUUCUGACUCGUCAGAACUCAUAUUUCCCUUUUCCAUGUCCACCCACAGGAGAGGUACUGGCUACCUACCUGAAGGAAGAGAAAGCCAUGGCAAAAUGAUAUUCCUUGCAUUAUGCCUUUUAGUAACCAAAAUCACAGGCUGUAGAAAGGAGCAAAUUUCAAAUGUGUAGAAAUUUCCUACAAAGAAUGGACUUUACCUUUCAUUUCUCUCUGGGGACCAACAUAAAAAUGUGUGUCUUCAGUUGAUGAAAUCUGUGGUGAGCAAAGCUGUUGGCUUCACAACAUGGUUUGUCUUUGGAGGUACUGCAUCUUAUGCCAUUUUCUAGUGUUUGUCAUAUGAUGUCCUAUAUAAUAAAAUAAAUAUUACUAGCAAAACACAAUUUAAUCAUCCAAUAAAUAUUAAGUUCAUAAGUCAAACAUCUGAUUAAAUAAGUUGCAACUUAUUUUCCCAGCCGAUUUGGAUUCCUUUGGAGAGAGAGAUGUUGAGCUACAUUUGUCAUAUUUGAUGGAAGUGCCAACACUUAUUUGUAACCAAGACAAAGAAUCUUAUACUAUAGCUUGAAAGCUGUCAUUAGCAUUUAGUGGAUAAAACCAUGUUUAAGGCCAACCAGCCUUCUGCUCUGCAGAUGGAUGUCUCUUCCAUCAUAAUCUACCCAGAUACCAAAGGUGAGGAAAGCAUAUCUUGGAGAUAUCAACUUGAUAUAACUUCCCAUAGAUGAGUCUUCCAAGACACAGAGAAUCCUUUCUUAAGCUUCGUUACAAGCUGGAAAUCUUCCAGCAACCAACUUCGCAAUACAAAUAACACUUCUUUUUUUUCUUGUUUUCCCCCAGAAGCUUGAGUAGUUUCUAUGAUACCUUUGUCUUCAAAGAUCUCAAAUCACCAGGCUAGCCCCUGUUUAUUAAACACCAAAUUCUUCUAGCUGCUCACUAGCCAGUAUGUCUGACCAAUACAGAACAGAGGAAAGAGGAAGGAAAAUUGGUAUACAUUACAUUUUGAAAGCAUGAAAUCCAUAAUGAGAAAAGUGAGGAAACUCACAAGUCCAGGCUCCUACCCUGGAAACACUUGUUGCCAGCUGGUUCUAUUUCAAGUGCCUAAUUCGAUGCUAAGUGCCAUAUUAUUGUACAAUAAAUUUAAAAAAGAAAAGAAAAAGAUAAAAGAAAAAAGACAAUGAUUGAAAGGUUGCUU